CGCUGGUGGCUGCUGUGCGAGUCCCGGCGCGCGUUCUGUUCCGCUCGGGGGCCCGGCUCCCAGGCGCUGCCCUCGGGCGGACGGAGCGGGCGGCCGGCGGCGGAGACGGCGCGCGGCGCUUCGGGAGCCAGCGGGUGCUGGUGGAGCCGGACGCGGGCGCCGGGGUCGCUGUCAUGAAAUUCAAGAACCCCCCAGUGAACAGCCUGAGCCUGGAGUUUCUGACAGAGCUGGUCAUCAGCAUGGAGAAGCUGGAGAAUGACAAGAGCUUCCGCAGUGUCAUUCUGACCUCGGACUGCCCGGGUGUCUUCUCGGCCGGCCUGGACCUGACAGAGAUGUGUGGGAAGAGCCCCGCGCACUAUGCGGAGUACUGGAAGGCUGUGCAGGAGAUGUGGCUGCGGUUGUACCAGUCCAACCUGGUGCUGGUCUCCGCCAUCAACGUGAGUGUCCCCACUCCCAGGUGGCCUCGCUGGCUGUUCUGGGCCAGCACCGGGGGGUGGGGCAGACACUGUCCUGCCCUUGGAAUCUCUCACAGGGGAAGGGGACGGUUGGAGAGACCCUGAGAUGUGCACAGGUGAGCGCCAUUGCAGACCGCGGGGCGUGUUGAAAAAGGUGGGCCUCAGGUGAGGACCCUGGCCUGGGUCAAUCAGACAAGACCCAGAAAAGAGCCAGUGGGUAGGAACCAGGGCCUGGGGUUGAUGCCAGCCU
Molecule: small RNA, 705 nt
Filed under: Pongo abelii (Sumatran orangutan)
Lineage: Eukaryota; Metazoa; Chordata; Mammalia; Primates; Hominidae
Description: retained intron
Source: RNAcentral